RNAcentral lists this ribosomal RNA (478 nucleotides) under uncultured bacterium. RNAcentral describes it as "partial 16S ribosomal RNA". It matches the Rfam family "Bacterial small subunit ribosomal RNA", at positions 28 to 523 of the family's 1533-position model. The record is from RNAcentral.
GACGAACGCUGGCGGCGUGCUUAACACAUGCAAGUCGAACGGUAAGGCCCUUCGGGGUACACGAGUGGCGAACGGGUGAGUAACACGUGGGUGAUCUGCCCUGCACUUCGGGAUAAGCCUGGGAAACUGGGUCUAAUACCGGAUAGGACCACUGCCUACAUGGGUGGUGGUGGAAAGCUUUUGCGGUGUGGGAUGGGCCCGCGGCCUAUCAGCUUGUUGGUGGGGUGAUGGCCUACCAAGGCGACGACGGGUAGCCGGCCUGAGAGGGUGACCGGCCACACUGGGACUGAGAUACGGCCCAGACUCCUACGGGAGGCAGCAGUGGGGAAUAUUGCACAAUGGGCGCAAGCCUGAUGCAGCGACGCCGCGUGAGGGAUGACGGCCUUCGGGUUGUAAACCUCUUACAGCACCGACGAAGCGCAAGUGACGGUAGGUGCAGAAGAAGGACCGGCCAACUACGUGCCAGCAGCCGCAGUAA